RNAcentral lists this transfer RNA (73 nucleotides) under bacterium. RNAcentral's name for it is "tRNA-Ala". It matches the Rfam family "tRNA". Rfam says of the family: Transfer RNA (tRNA) molecules are approximately 80 nucleotides in length. Their secondary structure includes four short double-helical elements and three loops (D, anti-codon, and T loops). The record is from RNAcentral. RNAcentral also lists the same sequence under 1 other name.
GGGGCUGUAGCUCAGCUGGGAGAGCACCUCCCUUGCACGGAGGGGGUCGCAGGUUCAAGCCCUGUCAGCUCCA